This 44-nucleotide transfer RNA is filed under the name Gekko crombota. Its description in RNAcentral is "partial tRNA-Met". The record is from RNAcentral. Lineage: Eukaryota; Metazoa; Chordata; Lepidosauria; Squamata; Gekkonidae.
GGGCCCAUACCCCGACAAUGUUGGUAAAACCCCCUCCCCUACUA